RNAcentral lists this transfer RNA (67 nucleotides) under Trechoblemus micros. RNAcentral's name for it is "tRNA-His". The record is from RNAcentral. Lineage: Eukaryota; Metazoa; Arthropoda; Insecta; Coleoptera; Carabidae.
AUUUAAGUAAUUUAAUUAAAAUUUUGAUUUGUGAAGUCAAAUUUAUAAGAUAAUCUUAUCUUAAAUU